GAUGAACGCUGGCGGCGUGCCUAACACAUGCAAGUCGAGCGAACACACCAGGAGCUUUCUCCUCUGACGUUAUCGGCGGACGGGUGAGUAACACGUGGAUAACCUACCUAUCAGACUGGGAUAACUACGCGAAACCGGAUCUACUACCGGAUAAUAUAUUGCACCGCAUGGUUCACUAGUGAGAGACGGUUUUUCUUUCACUUAUAGAUGGAUCCGCGCCGCGUUAGUUAGUUGGUAAGGUAACGGCAUACCAAGCCAAGGACGCGAAGCCGACCUGAAAGGGUGGUCGGCCACCCUGGAGCUGAGCCACGGCCCAGACUCCUACGCGAGGCAGCGGAAGAGAAUCUUCCGCAAGGGGAGAGAGGCGAACGGAGCAACGCCGCGUAAGGGAUGAAAGUCUUCGGAUCGGAAAACUAUGUUAUUUGGGAGGAAGAAAAGUGUAAGUAACUAGGCACGUAUUGACGGUACCUAAUGAAAAAGCCACGGCUAACUACGUG
This 497-nucleotide ribosomal RNA is filed under the name uncultured bacterium. RNAcentral describes it as "partial 16S ribosomal RNA". It matches the Rfam family "Bacterial small subunit ribosomal RNA", at positions 28 to 507 of the family's 1533-position model. The record is from RNAcentral.